Molecule: long non-coding RNA, 768 nt
Organism: Homo sapiens (human)
Lineage: Eukaryota; Metazoa; Chordata; Mammalia; Primates; Hominidae
Product: long intergenic non-protein coding RNA 2316
Source: Ensembl
AGUCUCACUCAUGCCCUCUCCCUCUAGUGUGGGAAAACAAGAGGAACCUCCAAAAUUUCCUAGCUGCACAAAGAAAUUGGAAGAAAAACAAGAAGUUUCCUUCCGCAAACUUCCUAAAAGGUGCCAUGUGUUUUCCUAAAACCAAGGAAAAUUCUAAAAUAGAACUACCAUAUGAUUCAGCAAUCCCACUUCUCUAAAUCUCCAGAAUCUCCAGGGAUUGGAACCAAGUGCUUUAUCUUUACCAUAUACCAAUCCAUGAAUCAACUCCAAAACAGAUCUCUAGAAACAGACAAGACUGACUACUGCCUGAAGGUUUCUGACACCAAGUUCCUGAGAUGUACCAAAUAUGAAAUAAUUUUAGAAUUCGAUCUCAAAUGGCCCUUUUGCAAACUCCAAAAUGUUGUGUACAUGGAACAGAGGCUGUUAGGAAAUUUGCCUUGCAACUAAAAUUUAAGCAAAGAAACAACUUGUCAUCUACCUGUUUACCUCUAACAGAAGCUUAUACACAUAUGCAUGGGCUUGGAGAAAAUGAUAUUCACUUAAAAACAAUAUAAUAAUGACAUGUACAGAGCCAUAUAGCUCCAAAACCUUUCAAGUGCUACGUCCAUUUGUGAGGACAUAUUUAUCAGUCUAGUACUACCUUGUAACAGUACAAAAGUACAUUCACAUUAUUUUUUCUAAAGGAGCUUAGUUCCUAGAGGGAAAAAUACACUCUUCUCAAAGUUUUAUAAUAAUAAUUAACAUACCCUACAUGAUGUUUGUGAGACU